GAGUUUUGAUCCUGGGGCUCAGAUUGAACGCUGGCGGCAGGCCUAACACAUGCAAGUCGAGCGAGAAAGCACUUCGGUGUGAGUAGAGCGGCGGACGGGUGAGUAACGCGUAGGAAUCUACCCAGUAGCGGGGGACAACAUGGUGAAAACCAUGCUAAUACCGCAUACGCCCUACGGGGGAAAGGGGGCUUUUGCUCCCACUAUUGGAUGAGCCUGCGUAAGAUUAGCUAGUUGGUGAGGUAAUGGCUCACCAAGGCGACGAUCUUUAGCUGGUCUGAGAGGAUGAUCAGCCACACUGGAACUGAGACACGGUCCAGACUCCUACGGGAGGCAGCAGUGGGGAAUAUUGCACAAUGGGGGAAACCCUGAUGCAGCCAUGCCGCGUGUGUGAAGAAGGCUCUCGGGUUGUAAAGCACUUUCAGUGGGGAGGAAAAGAUAGUAGUUAAUAGCUGCUAGCUGUGACGUUACCCACAGAAGAAGCACCGGCUAAUUUCGUGCCAGCAGCCGCGGUAAUACGAAAGGUGCAAGCGUUAAUCGGAAUUGCUGGGCGUAAAGCGCGCGUAGGCGGUUAAUUAAGUCGGAUGUGAAAGCCCAGGGCUCAACCUUGGAACUGCAUUCGAUACUGGUCAUCUAGAGUACAGUAGAGGGGGGUAGAAUUUCUUGUGUAGCAGUGAAAUGCGUAGAUAUGAGAAGGAAUACCAGUGGCGAAGGCGGCCACCUGGACUGAUACUGACGCUGAGGUGCGAAAGCGUGGGGAGCAAACGGGAUUAGAUACCCCGGUAGUCCACGCCGUAAACGAUGUCUACUAGCCGUUGGGAGACUUGAUCUCUUAGUGGCGCAGCUAACGCACUAAGUAGACCGCCUGGGGAGUACGGUCGCAAGAUUAAAACUCAAAUGAAUUGACGGGGGCCCGCACAAGCGGUGGAGCAUGUGGUUUAAUUCGAUGCAACGCGAAGAACCUUACCAAGACUUGACAUCCUGAGAACUUGCUAGAAAUAGCUUGGUGCCUUCGGGAGCUCAGAGACAGGUGCUGCAUGGCUGUCGUCAGCUCGUGUUGUGAAAUGUUGGGUUAAGUCCCGUAACGAGCGCAACCCUUGUCCUUAGUUGCCAUCAGUUCGGCUGGGAACUCUAAGGAGACUGCCGGUGACAAACCGGAGGAAGGUGGGGACGACGUCAAGUCAUCAUGGCCCUUACGUCUUGGGCUACACACGUGCUACAAUGGGGAGUACAGAGGGUUGCCAAGCCGCGAGGUGGAGCUAAUCCCAGAAAACUUCUCGUAGUCCGGAUUGGAGUCUGCAACUCGACUCCAUGAAGUUGGAAUCGCUAGUAAUCGCGAAUCAGAAUGUCGCGGUGAAUACGUUCCCGGGCCUUGUACACACCGCCCGUCACAUCAUGGGAGUGUGUUGCACCAGAAGUAGCUAGUUUAACCUUCGGGAUGACGGUUACCACGGUGUGAUUCAUGACUGGGAUGAAGUCGUAACAAAGGUA
This 1488-nucleotide ribosomal RNA is filed under the name uncultured prokaryote. Its description in RNAcentral is "partial 16S ribosomal RNA". It matches the Rfam family "Bacterial small subunit ribosomal RNA". The record is from RNAcentral.